RNAcentral lists this ribosomal RNA (475 nucleotides) under uncultured bacterium. RNAcentral's name for it is "bacterial SSU rRNA". It matches the Rfam family "Bacterial small subunit ribosomal RNA", at positions 36 to 507 of the family's 1533-position model. The record is from RNAcentral.
CUGGCGGCAUGCCUUGCACAUGCAAGUCGAACGGCAGCACGGGGCAACCCUGGUGGCGAGUGGCGGACGGGUGAGUAACACAUCGGAACGUGCCCUGGAGUGGGGGAUAACGCAGCGAAAGCUACGCUAAUACCGCAUAUUCUGUGAGCAGGAAAGCAGGGGAUCGCAAGACCUUGCGCUGAUUGAGCGGCCGAUAUCAGAUUAGCUAGUUGGUGAGGUAAAGGCUCACCAAGGCGACGAUCUGUAGCGGGUCUGAGAGGAUGAUCCGCCACACUGGAACUGAGACACGGUCCAGACUCCUACGGGAGGCAGCAGUGGGGAAUUUUGGACAAUGGGCGCAAGCCUGAUCCAGCCAUGCCGCGUGAGUGAAGAAGGCCUUCGGGUUGUAAAGCUCUUUCGGCCGGGAAGAAAUCGCACAGGUUAAUACCCUGUGUGGAUGACGGUACCGGAAUAAGAAGCACCGGCUAACUACGUG